AUUGAACGCUGGCGGCAUGCCUUACACAUGCAAGUCGAACGGCAGCGGGGACUUCGGUCCGCCGGCGAGUGGCGAACGGGUGAGUAAUGUAUCGGAACGUACCAUUGAGUCGGGGAUAACGUAGCGAAAGUUACGCCAAUACCGCAUCUUCUCUCCGGAGGAAACCAGGGGACCGCAAGGCCUUGCGGUCUUUGCGCGUCCGAUAUCAGAUUAGCUAGUUGGUGAGGUAAAGGCGCACCAAGGCGUCGAUCUGUAGCGGGUUCGAGAGGAUGAGCCGCCACACUGGAACUGAGACACGGUCCAGACUCCUACGGGAGGCAGCAGUGGGGAAUUUUGGACAAUGGGGGCAACCCUGAUCCAGCCAUGCCGCGUGAGUGAAGAAGGCCUUCGGGUUGUAAAGCUCUUUCGGCCGGGAAAAAAUCGCAUGGGCUAAUACCCUGUGUGGAUGAUGGUACCGGAAUAAGAAGCACCAGCUAACUACGUGCCAGCCGCCGCAGUAA
RNAcentral lists this ribosomal RNA (500 nucleotides) under uncultured bacterium. RNAcentral describes it as "partial 16S ribosomal RNA". It matches the Rfam family "Bacterial small subunit ribosomal RNA", at positions 30 to 523 of the family's 1533-position model. The record is from RNAcentral.